Molecule: ribosomal RNA, 251 nt
Filed under: uncultured prokaryote
Description: partial 16S ribosomal RNA
Rfam family: Bacterial small subunit ribosomal RNA
Source: RNAcentral
ACGUAGGGUGCGAGCGUUAAUCGGAAUUACUGGGCGUAAAGCGUGCGCAGGCGGCUCUAUAAGACAGAUGUGAAAUCCCCGGGCUUAACCUGGGAACUGCGUUUGUAACUGUAGGACUUGAGUGCGGCAGAGGGGGGUGGAAUUCCACGUGUAGCAGUGAAAUGCGUAGAGAUGUGGAGGAAUACCGAUGGCGAAGGCAGCCUCCUGGGCUGACACUGACACUCAUGUACGAAAGCGUGGGUAGCAAACAG